GAUGAACGCUAGCUACAGGCUUAACACAUGCAAGUCGAGGGGUAACGAGAGGAAAGCUUGCUUUCCUUGUCGACGACCGGCGCACGGGUGAGUAACGCGUAUCCAACCUGCCCCCAACUAGGGAAUAACCUUGCGAAAGUAAGACUAAUACCCUAUAAUUUCCUCAGAUGCCAUCUGACGAGGAAUAAAGAUUUAUCGGUUGUGGAUGGGGAUGCGUCUGAUUAGCUUGUUGGCGGGGUAACGGCCCACCAAGGCAACGAUCAGUAGGGGUUCUGAGAGGAAGGUCCCCCACAUUGGAACUGAGACACGGUUCAAACUCCUACGGGAGGCAGCAGUGAGGAAUAUUGGUCAAUGGGCGGAAGCCUGAACCAGCCAAGUAGCGUGCAGGAUGACGGCCCUAUGGGUUGUAAACUGCUUUUAUACAGGAAUAAAGUUAGCCACGUGUGGUUAUUUGUAGGUACUGUAUGAAUAAGGACCGGCUAAUCCCGUGCCAGCCGCCGCGGUAA
This 506-nucleotide ribosomal RNA is filed under the name uncultured bacterium. Its description in RNAcentral is "partial 16S ribosomal RNA". It matches the Rfam family "Bacterial small subunit ribosomal RNA", at positions 28 to 523 of the family's 1533-position model. The record is from RNAcentral.